CUGUUUUUUGUUGAAUCUAUUUUUUUUUUUUUUAAUACUGCAAUGUUGAGUAACUCUAUGCAACAAUCUAUAUUGGGUGGUGUUGAGGUGCUGUCCCAUUUUAUGAAACUGCAAUAUUCUGUUGAGAUAUUGCAUUUUGAUGCUGAGAUACUGGAUAGCAACUAAAUUUAUGGACUGUUGUAUAAUUCUCAGCAUAUUAUUUUGUACUAGAAAAUGAACUGUAAGAGUAAUUUAUGAACUGUUUUGGGGUAAUUACUGGAUUGUGAAGGCUAUUUUUGAACAUUAGUUUUAUUUUCUGUUGUUGGUAGUCUUCAGCUGGUGCAGAACGAGUUUGUUCAUUUUGUGUUUGUGAAAAUGCACCAGGUUAAUUAUUUUUUGUUCAUCUUGGUGUUGCCUGGGACAUUUUUGAUGGACUUAUUUUUCUCAGUUUUUAUUGUUCUUGCAAUCUUUACUUAGCAACUAUGGUUUGUUAAUAGCAUGCCUAGGACAGUUUUGUUUGAGUUGCAGGUGCAUGGCUGCACGUGAGCCAAUUUUUGGACAAUAAUGAUGUUUUGAAGAGAAUAUUUCUUGCAUUCAACUGUUUGGGACAAUAGAAGGAAAAUAAAAUGGAAAAUAAAUUGUUUGGGAGAAUAUUGAUAAACUGUUUGGGACAAUAGAGAAUAUUUCUUGCAUUCAACUGAUUGAUAUCUUUUUGGUAGAGCAAUUUACUCCUGCUUGUUGAUUUACAUGUUGUAAAGUAUACAUCUACUAGAGAGUAGAAAGAAAAUGUCAAAAUUGUAUAGGACUUCUGUUCAUUCUUGUUUCUUGGGUUUAAAAUUCUAUACAUAUUUUUCCUUGCAUGGAAUCUGCAUCUACAAUAGGCAAUCUGCACCUGCAUCUGCAAUAGACAAUCUGCAUCUGCAUCUGCAAUCUACAAUCUGCACCUUCAUCUGUAAUCUGCACCUGCAUCUGCAAUAUGCACCUGCAUCUGCAUUGCACCUGUAAUCUGCAUCUGCAAUCUGCACCUACAUCUGCAUCUGCAAUAGAUGUGAUUGUGGUGCUUGCUCAAAUCCUCUGAGUUAUUAAGUACUUUAUUGAGAAUAAAAAUUGAUGUAAUCUAGAAAUGUUGGUCUUGCCUAGGAAUGUUGGUAUUCAAUAGCCAACCUUCUUUUAAAAAAUAAAAAUAAAGUGCAGGGUUGGGUUGGGUUGUGAAUGAAGCCUAAGACUCUAUCACAUAUAUCAUCAUAUUUCUAUACACAUAUCCCUAAAAAAGAAAUUCUAUUUACAAUUUUAAAUGGAGGACUACAUAUUAUUGUAAUUUUAAAAAGAGAAAAAAAUAUCAUAUUUUAAUAAUAUGUAAUCCCAUGAAAAAUGACCUUGUUAAGCUUGAUACAUCACACAUUUUUUUCCUUUUAUAAUUGAGAGGAAAGGGAAAAUUCUUUCAUAUGUUACUGUGACAUACUUAUUUUUUUAACCAAUCAGAAUUUAUUUGAUUGGUAAUAUCAGUGAUAUUGAUGCCUCAUCUAAUGGCUUUCAAUAAAUGACAGAUUUCCCUUUCUUUUUGCAAAUCACUGGUUUGGUUUUCUCUAUUUCAACCACAUGAGAGACACCCCUUAUCCCUUUCUUAAAUGUGAUCAAGUAGUUAAAAUCAGUUUACUGACUCACUCUAUAUGAUUCGAUUCCUGUGAGUGAAAAAGACUUGUGCAUGGUUGGCUUAUCCCUUUCCAAGAAAAUGACGAGAAAGAAAAUUCAGAUAAAGAGGAUUGACAACACCACAGCACAGCAGGAUUGAACCAAAAUAUCAAGAAAUAGAGCAAAAAUAUUUCAGAAGCUGUCAAAGAUUGAUGGAAAAGCUAGCUAAACCCAUAUAGAAAAACUUUCACUUGUAAAUUUAUAUUCCAUUGUGAUAUGUUGGAUGGUUUUAUGUAAAACUUAAAACAAUAGUAGUGCAGUGGUUAAGCUUAAAAUAUGUACUUUGAGGUUAUAUGAAUGAUGUUUCAAGCAAAAAUUGAAUUUCUCCAAA
Long non-coding RNA from Carya illinoinensis, 2002 nucleotides. RefSeq lists it as uncharacterized. The record is from RefSeq and is a predicted model, not a curated record. The transcript is spliced from 2 exons. NCBI's taxonomy places the organism in Eukaryota, Viridiplantae, Streptophyta, Magnoliopsida, Fagales, Juglandaceae.